CCCUGGCUCAGGACGAACGCGGGCGGCGUGCCUAAUACAUGCAAGUCGAGCGAAUCUUUAGGAGCUUGCUCCUGAAGUUUAGCGGCGGACGGGUGAGUAACACGUGGGCAACCUGCCUGUAAGACUGGGAUAACUUCGGGAAACCGGAGCUAAUACCGGAUAAUCCUUUUCCUCUCAUGAGGAAAAGCUGAAAGUCGGUUUACGCUGACACUUACAGAUGGGCCCGCGGCGCAUUAGCUAGUUGGUGAGGUAACGGCUCACCAAGGCGACGAUGCGUAGCCGACCUGAGAGGGUGAUCGGCCACACUGGGACUGAGACACGGCCCAGACUCCUACGGGAGGCAGCAGUAGGGAAUCUUCCGCAAUGGACGAAAGUCUGACGGAGCAACGCCGCGUGAGCGAUGAAGGCCUUCGGGUCGUAAAGCUCUGUUGUUAGGGAAGAACAAGUACCGGAGUAACUGCCCGGUACCUUGACGGUACCUAACCAGAAAGCCACGGCUAACUA
RNAcentral lists this ribosomal RNA (504 nucleotides) under Bacillaceae bacterium CL7.18. Its description in RNAcentral is "bacterial SSU rRNA". It matches the Rfam family "Bacterial small subunit ribosomal RNA", at positions 17 to 503 of the family's 1533-position model. Lineage: Bacteria; Bacillati; Bacillota; Bacilli; Caryophanales; Bacillaceae. The record is from RNAcentral.